RNAcentral lists this ribosomal RNA (518 nucleotides) under Loxosceles sp. La Gomera. Its description in RNAcentral is "partial 16S ribosomal RNA". It matches the Rfam family "Bacterial large subunit ribosomal RNA", at positions 1834 to 2706 of the family's 2925-position model. Lineage: Eukaryota; Metazoa; Arthropoda; Arachnida; Araneae; Sicariidae. The record is from RNAcentral.
UAUCUGCGCUAACAGAAAGCAACUCCUGCCCUAUGGCAAUAAAUAGCCGCAGUUCUCUGUGCUAAGGUAGCAUAAUAACCUGCCUUUUAAUUCAAGGAUUGUAUGAAAGGACUCAUGACUUUCUUAUUUUUUCAUUUAUUUACAAUAAACUUAUCUUAUAAGUAAAAAAACUUAUAUAACAAAGAAGGACGACAAGACCCUAUAGAACUUCACAAACGUUAAACUGGGGUGGUUAAAAACAAAAUCUUAUCUACAUAUCUAUAUACAGACCUGAAAUCUUUCAAUAUUAAGAUCAAGUUACCUUAGGGAUAACAGAGUAAUCUCUUUUUAGAAACUUUCCAAAAAGAAGCUUUCUACCUCGAUGUUGAAUUAAUAUUACUUUAUAAAUAAAUAUUAUCAAAGUAGGUCUGUUCGACCUUUAAAAUAUUACAUGAUUUGAGUUCAGACCGGUGUAAGCCAGGUCAGAUUCUAUCCUCUUUAACUUAUGCUACAGUACGAAAGGACCUACCAAGAGAUAA